CGACGGAGUGUGUGUAAGGACUCUGUCCGGGGCGGAUGCUCUGGUGUACUUCCCCGACAUCAGAUCCCCGCCCCGGGCAGGGCCCUAUAUGCACCCCGGACACCC
Molecule: regulatory RNA element, 105 nt
Organism: Corynebacterium doosanense
Lineage: Bacteria; Bacillati; Actinomycetota; Actinomycetes; Mycobacteriales; Corynebacteriaceae
Rfam family: mraW RNA
Source: Rfam